CCCCCUUUAGCGGCGGACUGGUGAGUAACGCGUGGGUGACCUACCUUAAGGAUGGGGAUAGCCGAUAGAAAUAUCGGGUAAUACCGAAUAAUGUUGUCGAGUUAUGACUUGAUAAAGAAAGGGGCUAUGGCCCCGCCUAUAGAUGGGCUCGCGUUCCAUUAGCUAGUUGGUGAGGUAAAGGCCCACCAAGGCGAUGAUGGGUAGCCGGCCUGAGAGGGUGAACGUGCCACACUGGGACUGAGAUACGGCCCAGACUCCUACGGGAGGCAGCAGCUAAGAAUAUUCCGCAAUGGACGAAAGUCUGACGGAGCGACGCCGCGUGGAUGAGGAAGGCCGACAAGGUUGUAACAAUUCUUUUGCGGACUGAAGAAUAAGGAGAGGAGGGAAUGCCUUUCUGAUGACGUUAGUCCAGAUGAAUAAGCCCCGGCUAAUUAC
Molecule: ribosomal RNA, 435 nt
Filed under: uncultured bacterium
Lineage: Bacteria
Description: bacterial SSU rRNA
Rfam family: Bacterial small subunit ribosomal RNA
Source: RNAcentral